Molecule: small nucleolar RNA, 127 nt
Filed under: Meriones unguiculatus (Mongolian gerbil)
Lineage: Eukaryota; Metazoa; Chordata; Mammalia; Rodentia; Muridae
Description: Small nucleolar RNA SNORA42/SNORA80 family (ENSMUGG00000006843.1)
Source: RNAcentral
UCAUGGGCUUGCAUUCACAGCAGAACACUUUGUUGUUACUUUCCUAGUGCACCAUGACAGAGGAAACUGUGGCCUUGUAUGGCCCUUGUGGUUGUACGCUGCUGUCAUUAAAGUAGGUUGCAAGGUG